AUCGCUACCAUUUUUUCUGAGAACCCCCAGGGGCAUAUGUGAGUGGGCGAGUAGAAUGUCAGUAUAACUGGAUACUAACAGAGCCGGUGUCUCAGUUCACAAUGAAGGGAGCAAAGUGUUGCCUCCGAAUCUGUUACAGGGCCUUUUCCUAGAAGACCAGGGGGCUGAAGACAAAGGCUCAUGUGAUUCCAGGGGACCCACCCGGCUAAUCCAGGAUAAUCUCCCCAUUUCAAGGUUGAGUGACAGAUUCCACUCUGAACUCAAAAUCACGCUCUCCAAAGAUAAAGAAACUGAAGCUCAGAGAGGUGAAUGACCUUCUGGCAGUCACACAGCCAGGAAGAGGUGGAGCCUGGAUCUGCUGUCCCUGGGCCCUUUGGAGCAGGUGGGCUCCAAAGAUAUACUCUGCCGAUUUCUUAAGGGCUGCUGAAGGGUUGCUGCUAAUGACUCCCAGCUGCCCCUUCGCUGGAGAUUAGCCCUCAGCCAAACGAGAGGCGUCCCCUGGAAGGCCAGCCCACCCUGCUUUCCUUUCCCGACCUGGGCAGACGAUGGCUGAUGACUGGCUGAUGUGGUGCAAAAGGCCACCCCAAGCCUCAAGGUAGGACAAACUCUGUGAUGCUAUUAGGGGUCCAAUAUCCUUGGUGGGACUGCGGCUUGAUCCCAGCUGAGUCUGCAUUCUGGCUUAGCUUUUACUCCUUCCCUAUCCUGCUUCCCUCACUCCCUUUCUCCUCAGGGCCUCCCCCCACCCCAUAAAUCAUCUGAAUGGGAAUCCCUGACUCAGGCUCUACUUCUGGGGAACCCUCCUGAGACAGCUGCGUUUCCUGGUCUGAGCCCUCCUUUCCGAGGACUCCUCCCAAAGCACUAAGAAAGGCUCAGGGCCGGGAAUCCUUGCCGCUGGCUCUGCUGUGUGAUGGUGAGGAAAUCACUUCGCCACCCUGAGCCUCAGUUUCCCCUUUUGUAUGGCUGGGGUUGGGGGAGCCUCUCUCAGGUCCCUUCCAGCUCUGAAGGUCUGUGAUAUGACCUGAGGUGCCAGGAAGCCUUCUCCUUUCUUAACUAGCGCCACAUGUGCAUGGAGUCCUACCAUUGGGGACUUUUCUCUGAAGGUUUUUUCAAAAUGCAAAAGCAUCUGAGAUGAGAAUGAGUUUCAUGUUAGGUGAUCAUGCUGUAGGGCAGACUCUCUCAAGGUGGGAUCCUUGGGUCACCUGAAUCCAUCACCUGAAGGGGACAGCCUGGUUGGAACUUUGGGGUGAGGUGGAAGUAGAAUCACAGAAGCUUGGACAUGCAGAGAUGGAAAGGACCCCUUGGUCCUGCAUACCCAUUUUAUGAACCAGGAAACUGAGGUUGUGUCAGGGACGGGCCUCUACUCCUGCACACUGUGUUCUGUGGCUGAGAACGCCGGGGUUGCCUCCGGGCUCUGGGGAGGAGACUUGCUUGUUUACCUUCUAACUCGCUGGUUUCACUGUCCUCCAGCUGCUGGAGGAUUGCUGCUAAUGACUCCCAGCUGCCCCUUUGCUGGAGAUGAGCCCUCAGUCAAACGAGAGGUGUCCCCUGAAAGACCAGCCCACACUGCCUUCCCUGACUUGGGCAGACUGCAGCCAAUGACUGGCUGAUGUGGCUCAAAAAGGCCACUAUUGGGGACUACCCUUGAGUCCUACCAUUGGGAACUUUUCUCUGAAGGCGUUUACAAAAUGCAAAAGCAUCUGAGAUGAGAAUGAGCUUCACGUUAGGUGAUCAUGCUGCAGGGCAGACUCUCUUAAGGUGGGAUCCUUGGAUCACCUGAAUCUAUCACCUGAAGGGGUGCUUAUUAUUAAUAUUUCCCUUCCCUUCUUCGUAUUUCUUUGAAUAUGGUAUGUGAUGUCUGGAGCUGCAGCAGCUAUCUUUCAAUCAUGAGGAAACAACAUGAGAUGUAAACAAUAAGCUAAGGAGAGUGAAGCAGAAAUAUAUAAAGAAACUGAUUUUCAAUGGCAUUUCUGAAUCAUUGCACAAAACCUGAAAACUACCUGUAGAAUCUCAGUAUGUGAAAUAAUUGUCUUCAUUGCUCAAGCAAGUCCUGGUUGAAUUUUCUGUUAUGUGCAGCCCAAAGCAUUCCAAACAAAUCAACAGUCUUUAUCUCACUGAAUCAUAAUAACACUCUUUUUAAAAAUUUAUUUAUUUAUUAUUUUUGGCUGCAUUGUAUCUUCAUUGCUGUGCACGGGCUUUCUCUAGUUGUGGCAUGUGGGGGCUACUUUUCAUUGUGGUGUGUGGGCUUCUC
Kogia breviceps (pygmy sperm whale) is the source of this 2248-nucleotide non-coding RNA. The record is from RefSeq and is a predicted model, not a curated record. NCBI's taxonomy places the organism in Eukaryota, Metazoa, Chordata, Mammalia, Artiodactyla, Physeteridae.